RNAcentral lists this ribosomal RNA (242 nucleotides) under uncultured soil bacterium. RNAcentral's name for it is "partial 16S ribosomal RNA". It matches the Rfam family "Bacterial small subunit ribosomal RNA", at positions 62 to 330 of the family's 1533-position model. The record is from RNAcentral.
UCGAGCGGGCGUAGCAAUACGUCAGCGGCAGACGGGUGAGUAACGCGUGGGAACAUACCUUUUGGUUCGGAACAACACAGGGAAACUUGUGCUAAUACCGGAUAAGCCCUUACGGGGAAAGAUUUAUCGCCGAAAGAUUGGCCCGCGUCUGAUUAGCUAGUUGGUGAGGUAACGGCUCACCAAGGCGACGAUCAGUAGCUGGUCUGAGAGGAUGAUCAGCCACAUUGGGACUGAGACACGGC